GGAGAGAUGGUCGAGUUGGUUUAAGGCACCGGUCUUGAAAACCGGCGAAGGUUUAUAGCCUUCCGUGGGUUCGAAUCCCACUCUCUCCGCCA
This 92-nucleotide transfer RNA is filed under the name Clostridiaceae bacterium. RNAcentral's name for it is "tRNA-Ser". It matches the Rfam family "tRNA". Rfam says of the family: Transfer RNA (tRNA) molecules are approximately 80 nucleotides in length. RNAcentral also lists the same sequence under 3 other names. The record is from RNAcentral. Lineage: Bacteria; Bacillati; Bacillota; Clostridia; Eubacteriales; Clostridiaceae.